Molecule: long non-coding RNA, 133 nt
Organism: Haliotis rubra (blacklip abalone)
Lineage: Eukaryota; Metazoa; Mollusca; Gastropoda; Lepetellida; Haliotidae
Exons: 3
Source: RefSeq, a predicted model, not a curated record
AUUCUGAAGAUUUCAUUGAGGUACACCUGCAUUAUACCGGAUACCUGCCUGCCAUAUUUAAUUAGGUCACGUGAUGCGAGAGCGGAAAGGUGAAAAAAUAUAAAACUGAGAUGAAAAUAACCCUAACCCUUAC